GUGGGGAAUAUUGGACAAUGGGCGAAAGCCUGAUCCAGCCAUGCCGCGUGUGUGAAGAAGGCCUUUUGGUUGUAAAGCACUUUAAGCGAGGAGGAGGCUACCGAGAUUAAUACUCUUGGAUAGUGGACGUUACUCGCAGAAUAAGCACCGGCUAACUCUGUGCCAGCAGCCGCGGUAAUACAGAGGGUGCGAGCGUUAAUCGGAUUUACUGGGCGUAAAGCGUGCGUAGGCGGCUUUUUAAGUCGGAUGUGAAAUCCCUGAGCUUAACUUAGGAAUUGCAUUCGAUACUGGGAAGCUAGAGUAUGGGAGAGGAUGGUAGAAUUCCAGGUGUAGCGGUGAAAUGCGUAGAGAUCUGGAGGAAUACCGAUGGCGAAGGCAGCCAUCUGGCCUAAUACUGACGCUGAGGUACGAAAGCAUGGGGAGCAAACAGGAUUAGAUACCCUAGUAGUCC
RNAcentral lists this ribosomal RNA (451 nucleotides) under uncultured bacterium. Its description in RNAcentral is "partial 16S ribosomal RNA". It matches the Rfam family "Bacterial small subunit ribosomal RNA", at positions 354 to 796 of the family's 1533-position model. The record is from RNAcentral.